Molecule: ribosomal RNA, 460 nt
Filed under: uncultured bacterium
Lineage: Bacteria
Description: partial 16S ribosomal RNA
Rfam family: Bacterial small subunit ribosomal RNA
Source: RNAcentral
CCUACGUGUGGCAGCAGUGAGGAAUAUUGGUCAAUGGGCGGGAGCCUGAACCAGCCAAGUCGCGUGAGGGACGACGGUCCUAUGGAUUGUAAACCUCUUUUGUCGGGGAACAAAGGCGCCCACGGGUGGGCGGAUGAGUGUACCCGAAGAAAAAGCAUCGGCUAACUCCGUGCCAGCAGCCGCGGUAAUACGGAGGAUGCGAGCGUUAUCCGGAUUUACUGGGCGUAAAGCGCUCGUAGGCGGUAUGUCAAGUCAAGGGUGAAAUCCCCGCGCUCAACGUGGGAACUGCCUUUGAAACUGGCAAACUGGAGUGUGUGAGAGGAUAGUGGAAUUCCAGGUGUAGGAGUGAAAUCCGUAGAUAUCUGGAGGAACAUCAGUGGCGAAGGCGACUAUCUGGCACAUAACUGACGCUGAGGAGCGAAAGCGUGGGUAGCAAACAGGAUUAGAUACCCUUGUAGUC